This is a long non-coding RNA of Gasterosteus aculeatus aculeatus (three-spined stickleback), 985 nucleotides long. NCBI's taxonomy places the organism in Eukaryota, Metazoa, Chordata, Actinopteri, Perciformes, Gasterosteidae. The record is from Ensembl.
CUACACUUCAGGCUGGCUGAUUGCCUGAGCGUCCUUUAAGUCUAUUCACACAAAGCAUCCAAGACCCUAAAUCAUCCGUAGGCCUACGUUUCCCGCUCUUCUGGCACAUGGACAGGACUCCCAAACAGUUAACAUCCAGGACGAUUGACAAUGACGCGACAAGUGACACAAGAGACACACAACUUAAAUAAACUAGGGAGGUGCAGGUGAUUGGACACAGGUGGAAACUAUCAGACGAUCACAGGGGAUGACAGGACAAGGCAGGAAGUGAAGUUACCCGGUUACUCUAGAAGCAACCAACAUCUGCCUCAAGUCUUCGAGAAUAAACAAUCGUCCACGUCCACACUGCAUUAACUUCCCAGGAGACCCCUGCCAACCUGUCAGUGUGUUUACAUGAUGGUAUAAUUCGAAUCUUCGAGUCGGCCUAUGCCAUCUUUCGGGGGAAGGUGCUAUUAUCCCAAUACGUGAAUAAAUCAAAUCAUUGGCCGAAAGCAUGUCAUAUCCAAUACGAUAGGUGGCGCUGUUUUCAUUACAACUAGUUGUGAUACAGCCAUUUCCGCUUGACCUCUGCACCACUACCAACAACAACAACAUCAACAUUACACGAAAGAUGGCGAACGGAGAGCAAGGUCUCGAAGAGCACUCUGGAUGAAGAGCAGAAACAAAGGCUUCUGGGAGAGAGAUGUUUCGACCGUAUUUGAUGACAAAGACUGGAAAGCGAAGUUUCGCAUGACUUGAGGAUCUUUCCACAAGUUGUGUGGAAUUAUGGAAGGAGUCAUGAAGCACGCGGAGGUGACUGUUCGAGCACCAAUACCGCUGUCCUCCAAGGCGUAGUGGACGACAUGUGUCGCUUCUGGAGCAUCAACUGUAAGAUGCCUGGGUGUGCUCAUGACGCUAACGUGCUGAGGCAAUCGACGUUCAGCCAGGCACACCUGUUACCAAAAGAACCAAGAUAAAUCGAUGACGUCUCAAUCGGUAACUUCCU